RNAcentral lists this ribosomal RNA (497 nucleotides) under uncultured bacterium. Its description in RNAcentral is "partial 16S ribosomal RNA". It matches the Rfam family "Bacterial small subunit ribosomal RNA", at positions 28 to 507 of the family's 1533-position model. The record is from RNAcentral.
GAUGAACGCUGGCGGCGUGCCUAAUACAUGCAAGUCGAGCGAACGGACGAGAAGCUUGCUUCUCUGAUGUUAGCGGCGGACGGGUGAGUAACACGUGGAUAACCUACCUAUAAGACUGGGAUAACUUCGGGAAACCGGAGCUAAUACCGGAUAAUAUUUUGAACCGCAUGGUUCAAAAGUGAAAGACGGUCUUGCUGUCACUUAUAGAUGGAUCCGCGCUGCAUUAGCUAGUUGGUAAGGUAACGGCUUACCAAGGCAACGAUGCAUAGCCGACCUGAGAGGGUGAUCGGCCACACUGGAACUGAGACACGGUCCAGACUCCUAUGGGAGGCAGCAGUAGGGAAUCUUCCGCAAUGGGCGAAAGCCUGACGGAGCAACGCCGCGUGAGCGAUGAAGGUCUUCGGAUCGUAAAACUCUGUUAUUAGGGAAGAACAUAUGUGUAAGUAACUGUGCACAUCUUGACGGUACCUAAUCAGAAAGCCACGGCUAACUACGUG